UAAAAAAGAUCUCCGUUGGUGACCAGCGGAGGGAUCAUUACCGAGUUUACAACUCCCAAACCCCUGUGAACAUACCAAUUGUUGCCUCGGCGGAUCAGCCCGCUCCCGGUAAAACGGGACGGCCCGCCAGAGGACCCCUAAACUCUGUUUCUAUAUGUAACUUCUGAGUAAAACCAUAAAUAAAUCAAAACUUUCAACAACGGAUCUCUUGGUUCUGGCAUCGAUGAAGAACGCAGCAAAAUGCGAUAAGUAAUGUGAAUUGCAGAAUUCAGUGAAUCAUCGAAUCUUUGAACGCACAUUGCGCCCGCCAGUAUUCUGGCGGGCAUGCCUGUUCGAGCGUCAUUUCAACCCUCAAGCCCAGCUUGGUGUUGGGACUCGCGAGUCAAAUCGCGUUCCCCAAAUUGAUUGGCGGUCACGUCGAGCUUCCAUAGCGUAGUAGUAAAACCCUCGUUACUGGUAAUCGUCGCGGCCACGCCGUUAAACCCCAACUUCUGAAUGUUGACCUCGGAUCAGGUAGGAAUACCCGCUGAACUUAAGCAUACUAA
RNAcentral lists this ribosomal RNA (545 nucleotides) under Fusarium sp. SPN-21. RNAcentral describes it as "eukaryotic LSU rRNA". The stretch from base 189 to 342 matches the Rfam family "5.8S ribosomal RNA". The record is from RNAcentral. Lineage: Eukaryota; Fungi; Ascomycota; Sordariomycetes; Hypocreales; Nectriaceae.